RNAcentral lists this transfer RNA (90 nucleotides) under Ahrensia sp. Its description in RNAcentral is "tRNA-Ser". It matches the Rfam family "tRNA". From Rfam's summary of the family: Transfer RNA (tRNA) molecules are approximately 80 nucleotides in length. Their secondary structure includes four short double-helical elements and three loops (D, anti-codon, and T loops). The record is from RNAcentral. Lineage: Bacteria; Pseudomonadati; Pseudomonadota; Alphaproteobacteria; Hyphomicrobiales; Ahrensiaceae. RNAcentral also lists the same sequence under 2 other names.
GGACAGGUGGCCGAGUGGUUUAAGGCACUGGUCUUGAAAACCAGCGUGCGUGAGAGCGUACCGUGGGUUCGAAUCCCACCCUGUCCGCCA